Long non-coding RNA from Equus quagga, 2949 nucleotides. RefSeq lists it as uncharacterized. The record is from RefSeq and is a predicted model, not a curated record. NCBI's taxonomy places the organism in Eukaryota, Metazoa, Chordata, Mammalia, Perissodactyla, Equidae. The transcript is spliced from 4 exons.
UGAAGACUUUUGCAGACAUACAAAAGGUGAAAGAAUUCUUCAGCAGCAAAUUCACACUAUAAGAAACGGUAAAGGAAGUCCUUCAGGGAGAAAGAAAAUGACAUCACAGGGAAAUAUGGAUCUGCACAAAGGAAUAAAGAGCACCAGCAAUGGUAAGCAGCAUCUUGUGUGGGGUACCUGUAACUCAAAACUGUCAACAGCGUAGACCAAAAAGGCUCCAAGAAAAGCCUGCUUCCCCCAACCAAGGAGUCAGGCGGGAUCAAGGCUCCUGCUUCACUAUCCCGAGGAACCCACAGGAGGUAGCCAAACGUGAAGACAUCCCGCAUCCCCACACCCUGCUUCAGAGGAUGUCAUGUGGUGGUGUGUGGGUGAGUGAUUGCUUCACCCUGUAAAACGGGAGAGAAGUGACACGAGUGACACGUAGCACCUCUGGGAGGAUGCUUGGAAGAGCUGAUGCCACAUUCCCUUCACCCCAACAUGAUGCCUGGCAACGCUCAGGAUGGUAGAGGCUCCAUCAGCCUGUGUCCUCGAAUGGGGAGUAUGGGAAGGGAAGCCUCCCACCGAACCAUGGUGGACUCGCAGUAUGAGACUUCAUCCACUUUGCCUGUAAAGCCACUGAGCGCUGGGGUUUGUUUGUCACUGCAGUACAACCACAUUCACCCUGAGAAGCUGGUGAGACAAACCAGUCUGUGGGAGAAAACCAAAGUCCUCAGACUACAGAUGGUAAGUACAUGCUUGAGCAACUAAGGGUCCUCAGAAGGGGCUGGGUAAGGGUGCCCGGAGGAGCAUUGGGGCUGGACCCUGAGGGCUAAUCAGGGUCUAGAGGAUGCCAAGGAAUGGACCAGACAUGCUGGAGGUAUCCCCGGAGGUGGCUGGAUGUGGAGUGAGGCAGAGGAUAGAGAUAUCCGAAAACACAUGUAAAUGCCUGGAAAAGAAGGAGCUGGCCACAGUCUUAGAAGAGCAGGUAUCCAACUUCUGUCUUCUGUAGGCUACAUGCAUGUGAGAGACAAGUUCAUCUCAGACUCAGUGCCAUCUUGUCACUAUUGGGGAUGAGUGGCACAGGACCUGGUGUGAUCAGAAGAAAGGGGCCAGGGGAUGGAGGUCUCAUCUUUCUAGAUCCUUCUUCCUUCCUCCAGGAAACCCUCUCUGAUCAGCCCACCCGGAGCAGCCUUCUCCUGCCCCUACACUCCUCCAGUCCUCUUUCUUCUGAAGGAAGGAGGGUAUGUGGGGUGUGAAAAGAGAGCAAAGCUCUGAAAUCAGACAGACGUAGUUCGAAUCCUAGUUUCCUUCCUUCCGUCGUCCAACCAGUAGGUGUGUCAGGCACUGUUCCAUGUCCUGAAGAUGUACUGGGAGCAAGACCCUGGCCCUCCUGGAUCUUCUAUUCAAGCAAGAAAGUAAGUCAGCAACAAAAAUAACAACACAAAAAAGACAACAAUUUGAAGGUGUGAGGCAGAUGAAGAAAAUAAACAAGGGGCCAAGAUGAAGAAUACCAGAGGGACCCAGUUUAGAUGAGUUGGUUAGUGACAGCCACUUCAAACUGGCAACACUUAAAACUGACACAUGAAGAGCAGGGGAGAAUAUUUCAGGUAAGAAGAAGGGCAUGUGCGAGACCUUUAAGUGGGAAAGAGCUUGGGUGGGAGAGGAAGGAGGAACAGAAAGAAAAGCGGUGUCUCUGGAAAGUAUCCUGAGCUGAGGAUGGGCGGUAGAGCUGUGCCUUCCAGGCCAUGUUAAGGGUGGAUUCAACAUAUAUUUUAGAGAACAAAUCGACAAAACUUAACUGAUGGCUUAGAUAAGGGGAGAAGAAAGAGAGGUUUAAGUAACCUGGGGAAGGGGUGCCAUUUACUAAGAUGAGAAAGGCUGGGUGGAGGAUGGGAUAAGUCUAGAGGGAGAAAUUGCACUUGCUAACAUGCUAAUUUCGCAAUGUCUGAGGUCUCCAGGUGGAAAUGUCACUGGGCAACGGGAACUGCAAAUUCCAAGGAAGCUCAAAGGAGAAGUCCAGGUUGCGGAUAUAGAUUUGGGAUCAUUGGCAUAAGAAUGGUGGUUAAAUCCAUGGGACUGCGUGGCAUCACUUGGGAAGUGAGUGUGGAAAAUGAAGAGGGCCCGGGGGGGUCUAAGGAAGACCAACAUUCAGGGGUCAGAAAAAGGAGGACCCCACAAAGAAGGACUAGUCGCUGAAGUCAGAGGAAAACCUGGAGAGUGUUCCUUGCUAGGAUUAACUGAGAGAGGAGAGUGUUUCCAGAAGGAGGGAGUGGUCAACUGGGACAAAGGACUAAGACAAAGUCUCAGAGUUGGGCUGGACCUGGCAAGAUGGGGGUCAUUGGUGACUUUGGCUGAGCAAUGUCAGGAGAGCACUGGGGGCAGAGCCAGGCUGCAGUGGGUCCAGGAGUGCACAAGGUGAGAAAGUGGAAACCAUCUGUGUACAUCGAACUCUGGAGAAAUUUGGCUCCCACAGCAAAUUGAGGAAUUAGAAGGUAGCUGUCAAGGGGAGGGGCUGGAUACGUGAGGACUGGAGAGCAUGUCUGUGUGCUGAUUGCAACUGCCUGGAGAAAGGAAGGGACUGACUUGAAAGGGAGAGCUGGCACAACUGAGGAAGCGAAGUUCUUGAGUAGCUGGAGGGGACGAAUCAAGAGCCCAGAUGGAGAGGCUUUCCUCCAUCAGCGGAGGAGGAAGAAGCAGAAGAGGAGCCGGUUUGGGCGGGUUUGUGAGUUUGGUGUUGGGAAGUGUAGGUCUCAGUGAAGCUAAGUAACGGGAUCACUGGGAACUGGAGGGAAAGCACAGGGGGCAGGAGGAGGUGUGGAGGAAAGAGAAGAAAGGAGAAUUGUCACCGGGAGUGGGCAGUGGACUUGAGAGAACUGUGGGGUUGCCUGGCAGUACUGAGGGCCAACGUGCAGACUGAGGCGGUGAAUUUAGAGUCGAGCAGCCAGCCCUGUUGCGUGAUUAUCUCCAAAA